Molecule: ribosomal RNA, 775 nt
Filed under: uncultured soil bacterium
Lineage: Bacteria
Description: bacterial SSU rRNA
Rfam family: Bacterial small subunit ribosomal RNA
Source: RNAcentral
AGAGUUUGAUCCUGGCUCAGGAUAAACGCUGGCGGCGUGCCUAACACAUGAUAGUCGAACGCUUUAUCCUUUUGCUCGCAAGAGCAAAAGGGAUUGAGAGUGGCGGACGGGUGAUGAACACGCGGGUUAUCUGCCUCUGGUUGAGGAAUACCGGCGAGUAAUCGCCGACUAUACCGCAUAGCCUUGGUAACAAGGAAAGCCCGGCAACGGGUGCCGAGAGAUGAGCCUGCGGCCGAUUAUGCUCGUUGGUGGGGUAAAGGCCUACCAAGGCGACGAUCGGUAGCUGGUCUGAGAGGACGAUCAGCCACACUGGGAUUGAGAACGGCCCAGACUCCUACGGGGGGCAGCAGUGAGGAAUUUUCGGCAAUGGGGGCAACCCUGACCGAGCAACGCCGCGUGCAGGACGAAGGUCUUCGGAUCGUAAACUGCUUUUCUGGGGGACGACUCCCGACGGUACCCCAGCAAUCAGCCCCGGCUAACUACGUGCCAGCAGCCGCGGUAAUACGUAGGGGGCAAGCGUUGUCCGGAUAUAUUGGGCGUAAAGCGCACGCAGGCGGUCUGCCAAGUUCGGAGUGACAGUUCCCGGCUUAACUGGGAAAGGUCUUCGAAAACUGGUGGACUUGAGACUUUGAGGGGGAGACGGAAUUCCGGGUGGAGCGGUGAAAUGCGUAUAGAUCCGGAGGAACACCGAAAGCGAAGGCAGUCUCCUGGCAAGGUUCUGACGCUCAUGUGCGAAAGCUAUGGGAGCGAACAGGAUUAAAUACCCUGGUAGUCC